Molecule: long non-coding RNA, 753 nt
Filed under: Sparus aurata (gilthead seabream)
Lineage: Eukaryota; Metazoa; Chordata; Actinopteri; Spariformes; Sparidae
Description: lncRNA (ENSSAUG00010000422.1)
Source: RNAcentral
CGUUGCUAGGCUACGUUCAAGCGCGUCGCGCCAAACGCUGUCAGAUAAUGACUAAUACUGAGCGCGAUUAUUUCAUUAUUUCAACGAUGUGGGUGACAGGGAGGAAAGCCGAGGAGAGUCAACCCAAACCUCUGUGGUAAAUGUUUUAAGAUUCGUUGGUUCUGGUACACCACUGUGUGGGUCUGUGUGAGAGUGGAGAUGAUAUUCUUGCUGGCAGUUUUGAUCUAGAACACUUUGUUGGUGACCCCUGACUGGAAAAGUGUUUGUGCGGUACUUUCCCCCCCCUACUCCAGAGCUCGGCAGAAGCCUGUCAAUAGUAACUGACCCAAACUUGCACCCUCAUGGGGUGAAGGGUAAUUCAGUCAGUGUUGCCACUCAGCUGCAGUCCCUCUUCAGCUCUCCCCCUCUGGUGCCGCCGCAAAGAGGGGAGAACAAAAGAUAUAGAGCAGUAACAGUUUAAGGCUCGACUAGGAUGGUGGAUGUUCCUCAUCGACCGCGGCCCUUAGGAGGAGGCUGCUAGGGGAGCCCGUGUCAGUCCUGAUCAGAUAUCUGUGGUGUCAAUUAAACAGACACAGGAAGCGAUUUUUUUUUUUUAAAGUCACAGACAUAUUUCCUCACAUGACUGAGAGGUUAAGAUUAAAAUGUGAGCAACAAUAGGCCCCUUUUAGCUGAAUCGUUGAUUCUGGGGUCACUCAGGGGACGUCAGGGAGAGUGAUGAUAUAAUAUAACGCAUCACUUCCCUUACAUGUCGAC